CCUACGGGAGGCAGCAGUGAGGAAUAUUGGUCAAUGGUCGGGAGACUGAACCAGCCAAGCCGCGUGCGGGAGGAAGGUACAGAGUAUCGUAAACCUCUUUUGUCAGGGAACAAAGUCGGGGACGUGUCCCCUGAUGAGUGUACCUGACGAAAAAGCAUCGGCUAACUCCGUGCCAGCAGCCGCGGUAAUACGGGGGAUGCGAGCGUUAUCCGGAUUUAUUGGGUUUAAAGGGUGCGCAGGCGGUCUGUUAAGUCAGCGGUAAAAGCCCGGGGCUCAACCCCGGCCCGCCGUUGAAACUGGCAGGCUCGAGUUGGAGAGAAGUAUGCGGAAUGCGCGGUGUAGCGGUGAAAUGCAUAGAUAUCGCGCAGAACUCCGAUUGCGAAGGCAGCAUGCCGGCUCCAAACUGACGCUGAGGCACGAAAGCGUGGGUAUCGAACAGGAUUAGAUACCCCUGUAGUC
RNAcentral lists this ribosomal RNA (459 nucleotides) under uncultured bacterium. RNAcentral describes it as "partial 16S ribosomal RNA". It matches the Rfam family "Bacterial small subunit ribosomal RNA", at positions 338 to 795 of the family's 1533-position model. The record is from RNAcentral.